Molecule: ribosomal RNA, 95 nt
Filed under: uncultured bacterium
Lineage: Bacteria
Description: partial 16S ribosomal RNA
Rfam family: Bacterial small subunit ribosomal RNA
Source: RNAcentral
AAGGCCUUCGGGUUGUAAACUCCUUUUGCUAGGGAAGAUAUGACGGUCCCUGCGAAUAAGCCACGGCUAACUCUGUGCCAGCAGCCGCGGUAAUA